CCUACGGGAGGCAGCAGUGGGGAAUAUUGGGCAAUGGGCGCAAGCCUGACCCAGCAACGCCGCGUGAAGGAAGACGGCCCUCGGGUUGUAAACUUCUUUUGUUAGGGACGAAGCAAGUGACGGUACCUGACGAAUAAGCCACGGCUAACUACGUGCCAGCAGCCGCGGUAAUACGUAGGUGGCAAGCGUUAUCCGGAUUUACUGGGUGUAAAGGGCGUGUAGGCGGGACUGCAAGUCAGAUGUGAAAACCACGGGCUCAACCUGUGGCCUGCAUUUGAAACUGUAGUUCUUGAGUACUGGAGAGGCAGACGGAAUUCCUGGUGUAGCGGUGAAAUGCGUAGAUAUUAGGAGGAACACCAGUGGCGAAGGCAGUCUGCGGGACAGCAACUGACGCUGAGGCGCGAAGGCGUGGGGAGCGAACAGGAUUAGAUACCCCUGUAGUC
RNAcentral lists this ribosomal RNA (443 nucleotides) under uncultured bacterium. RNAcentral's name for it is "partial 16S ribosomal RNA". It matches the Rfam family "Bacterial small subunit ribosomal RNA", at positions 338 to 795 of the family's 1533-position model. The record is from RNAcentral.